RNAcentral lists this ribosomal RNA (629 nucleotides) under uncultured korarchaeote. RNAcentral's name for it is "bacterial SSU rRNA". It matches the Rfam family "Archaeal small subunit ribosomal RNA", at positions 95 to 711 of the family's 1478-position model. The record is from RNAcentral. Lineage: Archaea; Thermoproteati; Thermoproteota.
AAUACGCGGUCAACCUACCUUGGGGACCGGGAUAACCUCGGGAAACUUAGGCUAAUCCCGGAUAGGUGUGGGGUGCUGAAAUGCCCUCACGCCGAAAGUAGGCGGGAAAUGGACCGCUGAGGCCCCAGGAUGGGACCGCGGCCUAUCAGGUAGUAGGUGGGGUAACGGCCCACCUAGCCUACGACGGGUACGGGCCCUGAGAGGGGGAGCCCGGAGAUGGGCACUGAGACAAGGGUCUAGGCCCUAAGGGGCGCAGCAGGCGCGAAGAUUCCGCAAUGCCCGAAAGGGCGACGGAGUGAACCCGAGUGCCACCCGCUGAGGGUGGCUGUUCCCCUGUGUAAAAAGCAGGGGGCAGGAAGGGGAGGGCAAGGCUGGUGGCAGCCGCCGCGGUAAAACCAGCUCCCCGAGGGGUUCCCACGCAUACUGGGCCUAAAGCGUCCGUAGCCGGCCCUGUAAGUCUGCAGUUAAAUCCGCCUGUAGACAGGCGGGUUGCUGCAGAUACUGCAGGGCUAGGGAGCGGGAGGAGCCGGGGGUAUUCCCGGGGGAGCGGUAAAAUGCGUAGAUCCCGGGAGGACCACCAGUGGCGAAGGCGCCCGGCUUGAACGCGUCCGACGGUGAGGGACGAAAGC